AGUGGCGAACGGGUGAGUAAUAUAUCGGAACGUAUCCAAUAAUGGGGGAUAACUAAUCGAAAGGUUAGCUAAUACCGCAUACGCCCUACGGGGGAAAGCAGGGGAUCUUCGGACCUUGCGUUAAUGGAGCGGCUGAUAUCUGACUAGCUAGUAGGUGAGGUAAAGGCUCACCUAGGCUUCGAUCAGUAGCUGGUCUGAGAGGACGACCAGCCACACUGGAACUGAGACACGGUCCAGACUCCUACGGGAGGCAGCAGUGGGGAAUUUUGGACAAUGGGCGCAAGCCUGAUCCAGCCAUUCCGCGUGAGUGAAGAAGGCCUUCGGGUUGUAAAGCUCUUUCGCAAGGGAAGAAACGAUACCGACGAAUAAUCGGUGUUAAUGACGGUACCUUGAUAAGAAGCACCGGCUAACUACGUGCCAGCAGCCGCGGUAAUACGUAGGGUGCGAGCGUUAAUCGGAAUUACUGGGCGUAAAGCGUGCGCAGGCGGUUUUGUAAGUCAGAUGUGAAAUCCCCGGGCUCAACCUGGGAACUGCGUUUGAAACUACAAGGCUAGAGUAUGGUAGAGGGGGGUAGAAUUCCACGUGUAGCAGUGAAAUGCGUAGAGAUGUGGAGGAAUACCAAUGGCGAAGGCAGCCCCCUGGACUAAUACUGACGCUCAUGCACGAAAGCGUGGGGAGCAAACAGGAUUAGAUACCCUGG
Molecule: ribosomal RNA, 700 nt
Filed under: uncultured beta proteobacterium
Lineage: Bacteria; Pseudomonadati; Pseudomonadota; Betaproteobacteria
Description: bacterial SSU rRNA
Rfam family: Bacterial small subunit ribosomal RNA
Source: RNAcentral